GCCGCCUUAGCUCAGGGGUAGAGCACUUGUUUUGUAAACAAGGUGUCGUGAGUCCGAAUCUCACAGGCGGCU
This 72-nucleotide transfer RNA is filed under the name Candidatus Gottesmanbacteria bacterium. Its description in RNAcentral is "tRNA-Thr". It matches the Rfam family "tRNA". From Rfam's summary of the family: Transfer RNA (tRNA) molecules are approximately 80 nucleotides in length. Their secondary structure includes four short double-helical elements and three loops (D, anti-codon, and T loops). The record is from RNAcentral. Lineage: Bacteria; Candidatus Gottesmaniibacteriota.